This 438-nucleotide ribosomal RNA is filed under the name uncultured bacterium. Its description in RNAcentral is "bacterial SSU rRNA". It matches the Rfam family "Bacterial small subunit ribosomal RNA", at positions 619 to 1056 of the family's 1533-position model. The record is from RNAcentral.
AACUGCAUUUGAAACUGGUGAACUAGAGUACUGUAGAGGGGGGUAGAAUUUCAGGUGUAGCGGUGAAAUGCGUAGAGAUCUGAAGGAAUACCAGUGGCGAAGGCGGCCCCCUGGACAGAUACUGACACUCAGAUGCGAAAGCGUGGGGAGCAAACAGGAUUAUAUACCCUGGUAGUCCACGCCGUAAACGAUGUCUACUUGGAGGUUGUGGCCUUGAGCCGUGGCUUUCGGAGCUAACGCGUUAAGUAGACCGCCUGGGGAGGACGGACGCGAGAUUAAAACUCAAAUGAAUUGACGGGGGCCCGCACAAGCGGUGGAGCAUGUGGGUUAAUUCGAUGCAACGCGAAUAACCUUACCUACUCUUGACAUCCAGAGAAGCCAGCGGAGACGCAGGUGUGCCUUCGGGAGCUCUGAGACAGGUGCUGCAUGGGUGUCGUC